UGGGGAAUAUUGCACAAUGGGGGAAACCCUGAUGCAGCCAUGCCGCGUGUGUGAAGAAGGCCUUCGGGUUGUAAAGCACUUUCAGCGAGGAGGAAAGGUUGGCGCCUAAUACGUGUCAACUGUGACGUUACUCGCAGAAGAAGCACCGGCUAACUCCGUGC
RNAcentral lists this ribosomal RNA (161 nucleotides) under uncultured bacterium. Its description in RNAcentral is "partial 16S ribosomal RNA". It matches the Rfam family "Bacterial small subunit ribosomal RNA", at positions 355 to 508 of the family's 1533-position model. The record is from RNAcentral.